GCCCAGUAGGUGGCGGCAUAUACUUCAAAUAUUUUUUUGCGGACCGCCAUGAUACCAUAGAAGCAGCAGCAACAGCAGCGUUGUGUCCGGCCGUAACUAGCGAAUCUUGCUGCAAAAACAACAAUUUCUCAAUCUCAUCCCUUUCUUCCCUAACAUGUAUAAACUACAGCUGCUUAAUCUGUUUCUCAACGAAAAAUUAAUCGCAGUUCCUUUGGAGAUAUCCGUGGCAGUUAAAAAAACGAUAGCAGAGCACCAGGAAGAAAUCUGCCGUUUGAGACGGGCGAAUGAACGUUUACGAAGAAUCCUGGAUUUGGUUUUCAAACCAGUGAUAAAGUUGCAUAGAUUAGCAGGGUUGCCAGGUGUAGCUACAUUUUCGAGACAAAUGACGACUCAAAACCUGCCCAAAAGGCCUGAACCUAGGCAAAUUUGAUUUCACACCCUAAUUAAACUCGCCAAAGAAUGUUCCAUCAAUGUAUGUCGUUCUAACUCGUAUGACUGCUAUGAGUAUGGUAUAUGGCCAGUAUACCAUGGCAAAGAGCUGUUAUUUCAUGACGCAACAAGGAGUCCUCGGAUACCUCCAUUGGCCAUAUACCAACAAUUCCAAAGGUGCCUUAUUGCUAUUAUAUAAACUGGUUACCAAAGUAAUUAGAAUCGUAAAAUUUUUUUGGGGUCAUACCUGUGGUAUAUGGUCUGAUUUACUUUGGCUUUCAGCCAAGCAGCUUUCAGGCUGAACCAGGUUUAUAAUUGUAAAUACAUCCCCCUUUGCGCAUGUGCAUAACUAUAGAUAAAUCUGACAGGAGAGUUUGAGAGAUGAAAGUUGGAUAGAGGAUCUCAGUCUCUGAGCAAGAAACACUUGGAUGAACAUAAACUAAUGUUAGGCUAUUUUCCUGCAAUUGUGCUCUUAUUAUGUGCCAGAUGUUGAGACUAAAAACCAUUAUAAAUGGUAUCCUAUAGCCCCUGAUAGGCCUACAUCUAAUUUUAGAUGAUCUACAGUAGCCUAGACAAGAUGUAGGCCUGAUGUAAAUUGAAUGAUCUAGCAGCUUGCUUAGUUCAAAUUAAGACUAAUUUAUUCCACGUGAAUAGCGAGGGGAUUUCGAGGUAAGAAGUACUUGUGUUUCCCAAUAGCCUGCUGGAAUAGGCUACUGAGGAUGGGUCAUAAUUUCAAUCUCUGAAUUAAUAAUAUGUUGCUACCAUGUUAUUGUGUUGCUACCAUGCUGGGUUGUCAUGUGUUGCUGCCUUGCAAUGUUGUUGUCUUAGGUCUCUCUUUAUGGAGUGUUGUCUCUCUUGUGUGUGCCCCGCAGGAGGCCAUUUGCCUUUUGGUAGGCCGUCAUUGUAAAUAAGAAUUUGUUCUUAUCUGACUUGCCAGGUUAAGUAAAUAUGAAGUGAAUAUUACUUUUAUUUAUUUUUCUCCCUGUAGCCUAAUCUGACUACUGUUACCAUCAAUCUAAUGUGUUCUAGCAACUGAUCGGCAGUUGCGAUAGAACUUUGAUAACUUGCAUAGUAACAUAUGGCUACAACAACAAUAAACUGAAGUUAUAGGCUACUUAUUAAAUUGAUUUUCCAGCUCCUAUAGGCUACACAAGUGGCACAAAUGUAUUUGCAAUGAAGCCAUUGAUAUCAUCAUUUCAACAUAUUUAUUGUAUCAAAUGGUAGCCUACAAUGGCAUAUAAAUUAGUUUACUUGAUGGCCAACAAAGGCAAAUGUAUCAUUUUCCACAUUUUAAUGUCAGUUUCAUUGAGGACUUAACAAAUAAAAAGAACCACACAAGGGAGUCUCAACUUCCAUUUCAGAUUUCCACUCGUGCAGCCCCCAAGAACUAAGCAUGCAUAAAACAUUUAGCUCUUUAAUUGUUCCUUUUUAUUUCUUAUUAUUUGUAUUUUUAAACGGCAUUGUUGGUUAGGGCCUUGUAAGCAAGCAUUUCAUUCGGCGCAUGUGACUAAUAAAAUUUGAUUUAUACCCUUUUCUAGUAAUGUCAACAUUCAACUGCAGUUUUAACCACCUCCAAGCGAAUGUACAUAAUGCGCUCUAGUGCGCCCAAAGUCGUUUUCCAGUGCUUUGUCUGCACUAUUUCUUGAUGUGCAUCAGUUCUAGCGUAUUAAUAUGUUUUACGGAAAAAUGGUUGAAAAUAGAUGUGCAUUCUAGACACGCAUUCUCCUCAUACUCACGUGACUCAGCCAAUAGCUGUAGUUCUCUCUCAACAGACACACACCCCUCCGGCCCUCCCCAUCACUCACUCACACCUGACAGUAAACUGCAGGUCACAGUGAAAUAUACAUUUAAAAAACGCCAUGGCAGCUGCGGUGCAACUUAGCCCAAAAACCAGCAACCCGCAACCAAUACAUUUUCACCCAUGACAUCCUUUUUAAAGUACCAAUUAGCGGGAAAACCAAGAAUAUGGCACCACUUUUCUCUGCUGUGGUUCUCUCUCCUCUUUUUGAAAAAGGUCAACGGUAACUACAUCAACUAAAAUUGUGGCUCUUGUUUUAGCUCUUUAAAAGUAUUUUUGUGGUAAUGGAAAAAGUGUUCUGAUUUUUGAUUUGAAAAUCAAGAUUCCAUGCGCUCUUAGUUGGUCUAAAUUCAGAAAGUGGCCUACUUUGUCUGUCCAUAUAAUUAUUCCAUUGCUGACGAAGUCUGUCAUAAUCUCGUGAUCCAAGGCCAUGCUUGCUAUUAUUAUUUAUUCUCAACCAGGCGUGUUUACUAAUCAACAGAUCAUUAGAACAUAAAAUUACAAAUGUAAUUACCUUCAUCUAAAUAUGUGUCUGGAUAAAUGCGGUUAGAAUUAAACUACCUUCAUCUAAAUCGGUGUCUGGAAUAAAAUCAGGCAGAAGUAGCCAGCCAUGCAUUAGGCUGUUUUGUUCAGUGGCGACUCAUCAUUCAGGGCAGGUGGGGCAGAACCACACCAGUUUUGAGUCCCACCUGUUUAGCUAAAAAAAAAAGAAAUAUCAAUACACACACACACACACUGCCUUCGGAAAGUUUUCAGAACCCUUGAAUUUUUCUAUAUUAUGUUACGUUAGACUUUUUCUAAAAUUGAUUAAAUAAAUGUUUUUCCUCAGCAAUCUACACACAAUACCCAAUAAUGACA
Molecule: RNA transcript, 3085 nt
Organism: Oncorhynchus tshawytscha (Chinook salmon)
Lineage: Eukaryota; Metazoa; Chordata; Actinopteri; Salmoniformes; Salmonidae
Gene name: oocyte zinc finger protein XlCOF6.1
Exons: 2
Source: RefSeq, a predicted model, not a curated record